RNAcentral lists this transfer RNA (18 nucleotides) under Trifolium lupinaster. RNAcentral describes it as "partial tRNA-Phe". The record is from RNAcentral. Lineage: Eukaryota; Viridiplantae; Streptophyta; Magnoliopsida; Fabales; Fabaceae. RNAcentral also lists the same sequence under 11 other names.
GUCGGGAUAGCUCAGCCG